This 69-nucleotide transfer RNA is filed under the name Rattus norvegicus (Norway rat). It matches the Rfam family "tRNA". From Rfam's summary of the family: Transfer RNA (tRNA) molecules are approximately 80 nucleotides in length. The record is from Rfam by way of RNAcentral. Lineage: Eukaryota; Metazoa; Chordata; Mammalia; Rodentia; Muridae.
GGGGAUUUAGCUCAGUGGUAGAGCGCUUGCCUAGCAGGCACAAGGCCCUGGGUUCGGUCCCCAGCUCCA